GUGUCAGCCGCCGCGGUAAUACGUAGGCAGCGAGCGUUGUUCGGAGUUACUGGGCGUAAAGAGUGCGUAGGCGGUUUCGUAAGUCUGGUGUGAAAUCUCCCGGCUUAACUGGGAGGGUGCGCCGGAAACUGCGGAGCUGGAGUGUGGGAGAGGCAAGCGGAAUUCCUGGUGUAGCGGUGAAAUGCGUAGAUAUCAGGAGGAACACCUGCGGUGUAGACGGCUUGCUGGACCACUACUGACGCUGAGGCACGAAAGCGUGGGGAGCAAACAGGAUUAGAAACCCGCGUAGUCC
Molecule: ribosomal RNA, 292 nt
Filed under: uncultured bacterium
Lineage: Bacteria
Description: partial 16S ribosomal RNA
Rfam family: Bacterial small subunit ribosomal RNA
Source: RNAcentral